CAAGGGAGCUUGACUGUGAGACUUACCAGUCGAGCAGGUACGAAAGUAGGGCUUAGUGAUCCGGUGGUUCCGCAUGGAAGGGCCAUCGCUCAACGGACAAAAGCUACCCUGGGGAUAACAGGCUUAUCUCCCCCAACGAGUCCACAUCGACGGGGAGGUUUGGCACCUCGAUGUCGGCUCAUCGCAUCCUGGGGCUGUAGUCGGUCCCAAGGGUUGGGCUGUUCGCCCAUUAAAGCGGUACGCGAGCUGGGUUCAGAACGUCGUGAGACAGUUCGGUCCCUAUCCGUCGCGGGCGUAGGAAAUUUGAGAGGAGCUGCCCUUAGUACGAGAGGACCGGGGUGGACGUACCUCUGGUGUAUCAGUUGUUCCGCCAGGAGCAUCGCUGAGUAGCUAUGUACGGAUGAGAUAAACGCUGAAAGCAUCUAAGUGUGAAACUCGCCUCGAGAUGAGAUUUCCCAUUCUUUAUGAAGUAAGACCCCUCAGAGAUGAUGAGGUAGAUAGGCUAGAAGUGGAAGUGCGGCGACGCAUGGAGCGGACUAGUACUAAUGGUUCGAGGACUUAACCAAGUU
This 569-nucleotide ribosomal RNA is filed under the name Weissella confusa. RNAcentral describes it as "bacterial LSU rRNA". It matches the Rfam family "Bacterial large subunit ribosomal RNA", at positions 2360 to 2925 of the family's 2925-position model. The record is from RNAcentral. Lineage: Bacteria; Bacillati; Bacillota; Bacilli; Lactobacillales; Lactobacillaceae.